GAUGAAGAACGUAGCGAAAUGCGAUACUUGGUGUGAAUUGCAGAAUCCCGUGAACCAUCGAGUCUUUGAACGCAAGUUGCGACCGAAGCCAUUAGGCCGAGGGCACGCCUGCCUGGGCGUCACACGUCGUUGCCCCCCCAUCUACUCCUUCGGGAUUGCGGGGGGCGGAUGAUGGCCUCCCGUGCGCCUCGUCGCGCGGUUGGCAUAAAUACCAAGUCCUCGGCGACGCACGCCACGACAAUCGGUGGUUGCGAAACCUCGGUUGCCCGUCGUGUGCGGUCGUCGCGCAUCGAGGGCUCGAAAAAAUUGCCGGGCUCCGGCUCGGCUUUCAACGCGACCCCAGGUCAGGCGGGGUUACCCGCUGAAUUUAAGCAUAUCAAUAAGCGGAGGA
Molecule: unclassified non-coding RNA, 391 nt
Filed under: soil metagenome
Description: partial contains 5.8S ribosomal RNA, internal transcribed spacer 2, and large subunit ribosomal RNA
Rfam family: 5.8S ribosomal RNA (bases 1-122)
Source: RNAcentral